GUGCCUGCUCGGCGAGCCCCCUGCCUCGGAACCCACCCCUCAGCCCGAGAGGCAGUCUGUGAAGCUGUCCUGUGUGACUGGGAGCAGUUUUCUGAGGCCCACCUUUUGUUCCUGCUGGGCCUCAGGCUGCUGGUGAGAUGGGGUGGGUUCAUUAGGCCAGUUCACUGGGGCAGAAAUGGAGGGCUGAGCACGUUUUGGGACUGGCUGGCGGCAGGACCGGAGCCCCUCUGCCAACACUUUGGCCUGUCCUUUCUCUGCACUGCUGUGGCCAGGGGCCAUUCUGUGGUAGCAUAAAGAGGAAGGGUUAGCAGGGAAGCCCCCGGCUGCUCCCGGUGCGCCACAGGGUUGGUGUGGGGUCUGCACACGGAGGAGCUGCUGGGGGGUCAGUGAGUCGGCCCAGUGCCACAGGACUAAGGUCUGGAAGGAGAUGAGCAAGCCGGGCGCCGGGGUGCACUCUGUGAUCCAGCAGCUCAGGAGGCGGAGGCAGGACGAUUGCGAGGUCAAAGCCAGCCUCAGCAAUGGCAAGGCACUAAGCAGCUCAGUGAGACCCUGUCUCUAAAUAAAAUGCAAAAUAGGGCUGGGGGUGUGGCUCAGUGGUCGAGUGCCUCCGAGUUCAAUCCCUGGCAUCUCCCCCACCUCCCAAAAAUAAGCAAGAUGGGCUCUGCGUGGAGGUCUUUGUCAGCCUCUCUAAGACCUUGGAGUUAUAAAGAAAUAAAAUAAAAGUCUAUCAACAACAACAACAAAAGACCCUGGAGUGGCCAAAGUUGUUCCCUGGAGACACCUUUCCAAAAGGUAACGUGUCUCCAGGGCCCAUCCUGGGCAACUAGAGGAGCCCUGGAGUGCUGUGAGGGUCCCACCAAACGUGACAGAAGAAAGGCUGCUUCCUGGGCUUGCCCACUCGGCCCAGGACAGAGCCAGUGGGUCAGGGCAGCCGCUGGAACAGAAUCUGUGGGCGCGCUUGUGUGUGUGUGUGCGCGUGUGUACGCACAUGUGUGCUCCUGCACGCGGGUGCAGGGCGUGGGCUGCGAGCCCUCUGGCUUCCCUGCCUUCCCGUCUUGGGCUGAGCCGGAGCGUCCCCUCCUGCUGGGGAUUGGAGGGGUCUAGAGUCCACUCCAGCAUCCCCUGGGGCCCCGGGUCCAACCCCCACCCAGGAAGACCCUCCUCUGCACUUGCUGUCCCUUCUGCUGCAGAGGCAGCCUCCCCUAGCCUGGUUCCAGGACCUUCCUGGCGCCAGCCGGGGCUUCAGAGGUGUCUGCAGGGAGCGGGUGGAAGGUCGGUCAGGGCGUUGGAGACCUGGGCUGCCUGGUGCUUUCUUGGUCCCUGCUGUUGGUCGUCCAAGACGGGGUUCUUCUCCAGGGACGAGAAGUGCCCUGGGGGUGGUUGGAAACCUGGGUUCCGGGCCCAGCUCUGCCGGUGACUCCCUGAGCAGCCUUGGCAUGUUGCUUUGGCCUCUGGUCCUGGUUUCCCCUCUGUCACCUGGGGUCGUUAGCCCUGCUCUUUCACCGUGAAGAGCGGUGGUGAGGACCAGCCCUGACGCUGUGUGAAGUGGGAGUGGGUAAGGGCGUGUGGGCAGGGUGCCCAACCUCAGGCUCACUGGGGGGUCAUGCAUGGGGAGUGGGCAUCAUGUGUUGGGUGGAGCCCUGUGCCUGGCCGGGGGUGCUCUGGGGACAGCAGGCGGAGAGGCCUGGCACCAGAUCGGUGACUUCACUGUCCGUAAGAAAUAGAAUAUGGUGUCUUUGGAAAACCAUGCCCACAUGCGCUGAGGCCACGUUCUCCCCCCAGGGCCCAGGUACAGAAAGCUCCUGUGCUUCAGGCCCCGGUGCCAGGCGGUGCCAGAGGAAGCCCCCAGAGACAGGGCUGAUGGAGUGGGGGGGCUCGCCCGACGAGGAGAGGCUGGCCUUGUCCUGGGGGAAGGGUGGGGACCUGCCCUGUAGCCCUGGCCAUUUCUGAGGGCUGGGAGCAGAGGCCACCAGCUCAUGUGUCCUCCCACUCAGGAGGUGAAGUGGGGGACGGGGGAGCUCCGGGGUGGGGAAGGGAGAGUCUGGCUGUCGACACGGACCUGGGCCUGGCCUCGCUGGCUGGCCUUCCUGCUUCCUCGAGCCUGAGCUUGGCCCGCCUCUGGCCAGGCCAGCGUGGGCAGGAGGCUGUGGCUCCUGCGUGGGCUCUGCUGCCGGCUCUCCAGGUGGCCAUGGCAGGGCUGCACCCCCUGACCUCCGCCUGUUCUGGAAAGCAGAGGGGUGGUGUGGGCCGUGCUGAGCACCCUGCGAGGCUGGGAUUCUCGGAGACACGAGACCCAGCCCUAGUUGGCCAUCGACUGAGCAUUUAGCACAUACCUUCCAAGUGUCAGUACUGCUGGGUGCUGGAAUGCCACACAGACAGAAGACAGUCUCUCCCUUGGGGAGUCUGUGCUCCAAGGAGGGAGACUUGUGGCAUGGUGGACAGCGGGAGCUGAAGCAG
RNAcentral lists this long non-coding RNA (2457 nucleotides) under Marmota monax (woodchuck). Lineage: Eukaryota; Metazoa; Chordata; Mammalia; Rodentia; Sciuridae. The record is from RNAcentral.